Mytilus californianus (California mussel) is the source of this 393-nucleotide long non-coding RNA. RefSeq lists it as uncharacterized. The transcript has 3 exons. The record is from RefSeq and is a predicted model, not a curated record. Lineage: Eukaryota; Metazoa; Mollusca; Bivalvia; Mytilida; Mytilidae.
GAGAUAUUGCUCCACAUUUGGAGGUGUAUUUGCUCAGCCAGAAAGUGCAGAUAUCAACAACUAUCUGAAGUCACUAACUGACAAGACAACAUGGUUGUGGAUUGGGGCAAGUAAUUUACCCGACAUAAAGACCUGGAAAUGGCACAACCCGCUUAAGCCUAUAAAGUUUUCCGACUAGCAAAGCACUCAACCUAGGCAUCCUAAUGUUGAGCAUUGUAUGGUUUACUGGAAAUCCAACGAAGGCUUCAAAUGGGGCGACUUGAGCUGUAAUAGUAAAAGAGGAUUUCUAUGUCAAAGGACAAAAGUAUCAGAAAAGGACAGCGACUGUAGUGACAAGAAACCAGUUAAUCAGAAAUUCAUGACAAUCUGUCUUUAAAUUAAAACAAAUCAUGA